RNAcentral lists this ribosomal RNA (408 nucleotides) under uncultured bacterium. RNAcentral's name for it is "partial 16S ribosomal RNA". It matches the Rfam family "Bacterial small subunit ribosomal RNA", at positions 28 to 526 of the family's 1533-position model. The record is from RNAcentral.
GACGAACGCUGGCGGCGUGCUUAACACAUGCAAGUCGAACGAAGUGGCGAACGGGUGAGUAAUACGUGGGUAACCUGCCCUCCUUUUUGGGAUAAGCCUUGGAAACGGGGUCUAAUACCGAAUAAAGGGGGAUGGGCUCGCGGCCUAUCAGCGUGUUGGUGGGGUAAUGGCCUACCAAGGCGGUGACGGGUAGCCGGCCUUAGAGGGUGACUGGCCACAAGAGGACGGAGAGACGGCCCAGGGUGCUACGAGAGGCGGCAGUGGCGGAAAGUGCACAAGGGGCGAGGAGCAAAUGCAGGGGCGCCACGUGGGGGUUGAAGGCGUUCGGGUUGUAAACCUCGUACGCUAUCGAACGGGUAGCUGGAGAGAAAGCGCCGGCUAACUACGUGCCAGCAGCCGCGGUAAUUC